RNAcentral lists this ribosomal RNA (442 nucleotides) under uncultured bacterium. RNAcentral describes it as "partial 16S ribosomal RNA". It matches the Rfam family "Bacterial small subunit ribosomal RNA", at positions 338 to 795 of the family's 1533-position model. The record is from RNAcentral.
CCUACGGGAGGCAGCAGUGGGGAAUAUUGGACAAUGGGCGCAAGCCUGACCCAGCAACGCCGCGUGAAGGAAGAAGGCUUUCGGGUUGUAAACUUCUUUUCUCAGGGACGAAGCAAGUGACGGUACCUGGAGAAAAAGCAUCGGCUAACUCCGUGCCAGCAGCCGCGGUAAUACGGAGGAUGCAAGCGUUAUCCGGAUUUAUUGGGUUUAAAGGGUGCGCAGGCGGCGUGUCAAGUCAGCGGGAAAAUGUUGGGGCUCAACCCCGGACGGCCGUUGAAACUGGCGUGCUUGAGUGGGAGAGAAGCAUGCGGAAUUCGUGGUGUAGCGGUGAAAUGCAUAGAUAUCACGAAGAACACCGAUUGCGAAGGCAGCAUACCGGAUCCAAACUGACGCUGAGGCACGAAAGCGUGGGUAUCGAACAGGAUUAGAUACCCGAGUAGUC